UUUUUUGACACUUAUCAUAAAUGGGAUUAUUUUCUUGAUUUCUUCUUCAGGUAGGUUAUUAUUUAUGUAGAAAUGCCAUGAAUUUUUAUAUGUUGAUUCUGCAUCCUGUAGCUUUACUGAAUGCAUUUAUUAGUUCUAACGGACUAUAAAUCAUUCUGCUUUAAAGACACAUGCACACGUAUGUUUAUUGCGGCACUAUUCACAAUAGCAAAGACUUGGAACCAACCCAAAUGUCCAACAAUGAUAGACUGGAUUAAGAAAAUGUGGCACAUAUACACCAUGGAAUACUAUGCAGCCAUAAAGAAUGAUGAGUUCAUGUGCUUUGUAGUGACAUGGAUGAAAUUGGAAAUCAUCAUUCUCAGUAAACUAUCACAAGGACAAAAAACCAAACACCGCAUGUUCUCACUCAUAGGUGGAAUUGAACAAUGAGAUCACAUGGACACAGGAAGGGGAACAUCACACUCUGG
This 467-nucleotide long non-coding RNA is filed under the name Pan troglodytes (chimpanzee). RNAcentral's name for it is "long non-coding RNA NONPTRT012739". Lineage: Eukaryota; Metazoa; Chordata; Mammalia; Primates; Hominidae. The record is from RNAcentral.